ACUGUUAACAGUUGUCAUUGCCUACCAAACUCAUGGAUUUCCAUCAGCAGUUUCUAAAAUUUAUGCUAAUAAGAUUAAUAUCCUGGAUUUAAUGAAACAGUGUCUAUAGAGAGAUCUGAGAUCUGGCAUAAGAUCUGAGAAAUAGGUCCCUGUACUUUUGGAAAUUCUAAGGAUCUCCUUUCAACACCAGUAUUUUCUGUGGUUACAGAAGCAUCUUCAGUCAGUUGUCACAAGAGUCUGACAUCUGUUUUUCUUGAAAAAUACUUUACUACUCCUGAAGGAGGAAGCUGUCCUAUUACACAGUAAGCCAUAUUUUGAUAAGGCCCUCAGUGCUAAAUUGAAGAGAAACAGAGAUCACAGGAGGUUGUCAAUUUGGUUCGAGUUUUCAUCAGAGUUGGAUUAACAGCUGGAAGAAGAGUUGUCUCAUCUAAACAUUCACCAGGGGGCAAUGAGAAAAAUCUAUUAAAUUUGACAUAGGACAAUGACCUGCAGAAGGAGAUAUCAGGGAAAGCAAAUAAUCUGACUGAUGGGAAUAUUUAAAGGUUAACAUUCAGAGUGGAACAACAGGUCAAGGAUGACUAUUUGUGCCCCAAGCUCUUGCAUAUUGCUUUCUUUUGGAUCUUUGACCAGGAAAAUAAGUGACUUCCAGAGGAUGCCUUGUGAACUCGGUAUAUUGCAUGGAUCUGGAGUAGACUAUGAAUGUGUUCAACAUCUUGGUUAUGGUAUGAAGAAAUGUGGCUAGCCAAAAUCCUUGACAUGAUUUUACUACCUAAAAAGAUGGAAAUGUUACUAUCAAGUAACUGCUUUGAUCAUGACACUGGUCACAUAUCACAAACUUCUGACACAAUAAACUACAACAAAAAUGUAUGCAAGCAAGUGUAUUUGCAAACUAAAAACAAGUUAGUAAAGAUUGACCCAGAUAAAGUGGUAAUUCACUACCAGGUCACAGGAAGAGUGAGAGCUGAACCAUGACCAAUUAUCUUACAGGGAAAAAUAAAGGAUUACAUGAGAAUAUGACAGCUUUUUCAAAGAGACAUAUAUGACAGUGUCUGGGCCUCCAAAGAAGAUAGGUACAUGAAAAAUGAUAGAUAGAUAGAUAGAUAGAUAGAUAGAUAGAUAGAUAGAUAGAUAGAUAAUAGACAAUUUAAGUUGUAAAUUCUUAGCUUAAUUUAAAUAAGUACUCUUAGAUAUAACAUGAAGAGUCAACAGGAUUGUGACAGACACUCUUGGCUCCCUUCCUCCCAGGAAUAUGCCAAACGUAUAGCUACAUGAGAUGGAAUUCCUUCUGAAAGAGAUUCUAGGAUCUAACUGAGCCCCUCCUAUACAUCCCAUGAAUGAGAAAAAUUGCUCAUCUGGAAAAGUAGGAAAGACUGAGACACAACUUUCCAUAAACCCCAGAGCUGACACAGUGCUGUGUCACUGGGAGGGAACUCCUUGUUCCUAGCUUCUCCUUAAUGAGUAGAUGAUUUGGACUCCAUAUCCAGGCUUCAACUUUUAAGACUCUCAAUGAGGGGACAGGCUCCCAAAACACCUAGUUCAACAUCACUAAUCACCAGGGAAACACAAAUAAAAAUCUACAAUAAGACAUCACUUCAUACUGGCUAAGAAUGGCUAUUAUCAAAAAGAUAAGAGAUAAUAAAUGCUAGUGAGGAUGUAGAAAAGGGAAUACUUUUAUAGUGGGAGAUUGACACAGUCACUAUGAAAAAUAGCAUGGAAGUUCCUAAAGAAAUAGAACUACCAUAUGAUUCAGCAACCUCACUUCUGGGUAGCCAAAGGCAAUAAAAUCAGUAUCUACAAGAAAUACCAGCAUUCCUAUAUUCAUUGCAACACUAUGCACAAUAGCCAAUAUAUGGAAACAAUCUAAGUGUCCAUCUAUGGAUAAAUGGAUAAAUAAAGUGUAUAAAUAUACAAUGGAAUAUUAUUCAGUCAUAAAAAUUAAGUAAGUCUUGCCACUUGCAACAAAAGGAUGGAACUUGAAGAUGUUACACCAAGUUAUGCUAAGUGAAAUAUGCUGGACAGAGAAAUACUAUAUAUACCACAUAGUAUCAUUUAGAUGUAGAAUCUAAAAAAAAAAAAUUAAAAAUAAAUAAGUUCAACUUCUAGAAAGAUGGAGUAGGCCAGAGUCUGGGAGGUAGGGGAAUUAGGGAGAGGUUGUUAAAAAGGUACAAAGUUUUAUUUAUAAAAUGAAUGAAGUCUGAGGAUCUAAUGUAUAAUAUACUGAUUCUAGUUGGUAACAUUAUUUAAUUGAAAUUUGCAAAAAGAAUAGAGCUUAAAUGUUCUCAAAAAUAUUGAUCAAUCUAGGUACUUUUCUUCAAGAAGCCCAAGAAGGAUAGUGGUUGAGUGUGUAUCAUAACCAGGCACUGAGGUAUGUUUGGAGCACUCAUAUAAUGUCUCUAGUCUUGGAGAUAUAAAUGACCCCCUUCAUAAUUUUUUUUUAAUAAAUUCACAGUAUUCCUCAAAACAAAGAUAUCUUCAAUUUUCUGGCCUUGUCCAAUUUACAAUUACUUAAUUUUUAUGAUAUAUUCCUUAAUUUUUAUGACAUGUAGUUUUAGCUCAGAGAAUUGGAUACUGACUUUCCUUAAACAUUGCAUUAUAGAAAAAAUAUUUCAAUAUUGGUCUAAGUUGAAGGCACCCAACAAAUACUGUUGGUCUGCUGCAUGAAGGGAAAGUAAAAUCAAACAAACAAACAAAAAUCACUGCAAAUAUUCCUGUAACCACUCUCCAAUAUUAAAUUUAAUAUCACAGUUCAACUGACAAGCCAUUUUUAUUUACUCAUACCUUAAAUUUUAGUUCUCCAAGUUAGAACUAAAGACAAUACUAAGAAAGUUAAAACAAGUGAAGAUGCAUCACUGUGUUGCACCCAUUAUUUCAAGAGCUUCUAUUCUCUAGUGCAAUGUGGGAAUAAUGCCCUUUUCGAGUGUAUCAAAUGAUCUACACAUUUAAAGGCAAGCAUCUGUUAACAUAAAUAAAAUGCAAAUAAAAGCAUGAAAUAUGUAAGCAUAUGGGAACAACUAUAAAAAGCUUUUCUCUUGAUUUUCAAUAAAUUGUCCAUGGCUCAGCUGCAAACAGAAAGUCUACACCAACUCUUUCUGGAAAUAAACAUAGUUCACUACAUAUCUUAAAAAAUAUUUGAGAAUACACUGAUUGUAAACAUACACAAAAAUAUUUUUAUCAUUAUUUUACCUGAUAUAAAAUAUUUGAUUUUAAUUGUCAUUUGUGUGUUGGCUGACUGUUUGAGGGAGGAGAAAUUGGUGAGCUUGUGUCCAUCUCUAUCAUCAGUAUUUGUCAUUAAUUAACUUCAUAACCCAUAGAGCCUUAUAUCACUUCCUUUCCUUUCCAACUACUUUCCCUGGAAUUAUACAACAACCAGCAUCUUUGAUCUUCAAAUAACUGGAAAACAAGUUCCUUCAAAAGGGACUAAAAUGAAAAAAAUGACACUAUCUUCUUGUAAUUAAGUCUAAUGCAGUUUCUAAGUUGCUCUCAUCUGUCUCUUCUUUAGGGCUAGAGUUAAGAGGACAAUGGUUCACAAUCAAAGUCUU
This is a long non-coding RNA of Canis lupus familiaris (dog), 3539 nucleotides long. RefSeq lists it as uncharacterized. The record is from RefSeq and is a predicted model, not a curated record. NCBI's taxonomy places the organism in Eukaryota, Metazoa, Chordata, Mammalia, Carnivora, Canidae. The transcript has 6 exons.